Molecule: long non-coding RNA, 19771 nt
Filed under: Lynx pardinus (Iberian lynx)
Lineage: Eukaryota; Metazoa; Chordata; Mammalia; Carnivora; Felidae
Source: RNAcentral
GGCGGCCGCUCCCCGUGUCAGUCCUGGAGGCAGGAUGGCUUUGAUGUUGGACGCGGAGUAUCUUCUGGAAGCCAGCAGAACAGUCUGUGUGUGUGGACUCCACUGACCCACUUGCUGGCACAUUUUACUUCUUUCUUUCCCUUUUUCUUUUCUUUUCCUUUUUUUUUUUUUUUUCCGUGGGAGAGUUACUUCAAGUUGUGUUUGGAGCUGACGUGAGUGAAAGGCUGGUCAUGUGCUCGGGUAAGAGAAGUUUCUGGGCUUGGCGGUGGGUGGGCAGGGAGACGCGGUGCGGCCGGGUCACGGCGGAGGAAGGGGGGGCGGGCGAAGAGCAGGAGCCGUCGUCUGGGGGGCCGCGGGGCUCGCCGGAUGGAACUCGGUCGCGCCCCGGCCGUGGUGGCCCGGGGGUGGCGCUCCGGAGGACGAAGUGCCGGCGGUCACAGUGGUCGGGAGUCGCUCUGGGCCGAGAGGCGGGCGGUGGGACGGGAAGGGCUUCUGGCCGCUGUGUGUCCGAGGGGGUGGACGCCCGCGUGUGUGUGUGUGUGUGUGUGUGUGUGUGUGUGUGCGCGUGUGCGUGUGGUGGGGCCCCGGCCGCUCUUGCGGAGCAGGGGUGCACGCGUCCUUGGGGGAGAGCGGCAGAGCCUGGGGCUCGGUUGCUCCCGGUGGUGUGGCUGCUGGGAGGGGGGGGCUCGGGAUCUGGGGGGGGGGCUCCCCCGCGGGCAGGGGACAGGGGAGGGGAGCCAGGUGCAGGCAGCGCUGCGGCUGUCCCGGCGCCCGGCUCCCACCGCGGUGGCGCUUGGCCGGGUGCCCACGUCUGGUUUGAAAUCAGCGCCACCGGCCCAGGCUUGCCCAGGGACCUGGCAGCGAGGAGCCGGCAUAAACACUGGAAAGUUGGAAGGGCUUCCUGAGCUCACAAGGAGCCCUCAGUUGCAGGCACAGGGGAUGAGGGAGCGAUUUGUCCUGAGGUCUGGGUGAGCCAGGGCUGUCGGGAGGCAGUGGCACGUCUCGUCGGGGGCCGGAGCUGAGGCCGGGGUGGGCUGGCUUCCCAGACGGCAUCGCUCGUCUUGCCACUGACUCGAUGUUGACUCCCGGUUCUGUCCUCUCUUAACGCCGGGUGGCCUUGCCUCACCUGCGCGAGCCUCCGUUUCCUUGUCUGUAAAAUGGGGCGGUCGAGGGGGUCGUACGGGCAUUGGGCUGAGCUGAGGGAGAGCUGUGGCCUCCUGGUUUCUUCGGGGGGGGGGGGCGCCAGGCCGCCAGGGUUCACGUCCCUGUUGAACACUUCCUGGCUGUGAGGCUCGGUUUUCUCAUGGCAAAUGGACGCUGCGUCCGUCUCUACCCCAGAGGUGGUCGUGUGUGGCUUACGGAGGGGGGGCUAAUAAGUGGUCCCUGGGCCACACCCCCGUGGAAGCUGUGACAGUGUGCAGGUUGUUGAACCCCCAUUGUCUUGUCCAUACGGUGUGAGUGCCUUGCGGGGGGGGGGGGGCCUGGGAAAAAGCCAGGACCGGCCUGCGCAGGGCCCCUGUGGGCUGGAGUCGGGGAGGGGGGCUCCGUUAGCCUAGACCAUAAACUUGGAUUUAAGUUAGCUCCACCUUGGUCUCCACCGAUUUUUCUCUUCUUCCUUGUCGAGAACGUUUCUGUUUUGUAGACUUGGAAACUACGGUCCUCAGCCCUAGGCUCUGCUUGCAUCUGGGCCUGGGCUGGGGUCCCCCGGGCUGUCCCAGCGCGUUCCGCCCCGUCCCGCCCCAAGUGUGGGCCGAGCACCCCAACUGCCCCGUGUGGCCUGGGGGUUGGGCGGGCAGGACUGGCUCUCCCGCCGAGGGUGGCAGUCAUCCUGUGUGUGUAAGUGACACCGGAUGCUGGGCCGGUGGCUGGCUCGGGGCCUCUCCUCCCGGGCCAGCAGGAGCCGGCGGGGAGUUCCCCGGGUGUCCAGGCCAGCUGCCCGCCGUCCGGUUGUCCUCAGGCCUCUCCUGGGGACCUCAGCCAAGGCCCCGGUAGCAGGGGGCCCCACCAGUGCCCCCUUGCUGCCCCCAGGCCCUCUGCACCCACUUGGGUCCGCUGCAGCCGCCCUGCCCUGAGGGUCUCAGACACUUGACCCCCCUCCCACUUGCCCUGAGGUGCAGGUGCAUGGAGCUGAACACACACUCACAUGCACCCAGAUGAGUGUGUGUAGAACCUGUGAGGUCUGAAUAGCCCGUUUCCUGGUGAUGCUGCUGGUCUCGAACGGCCGUUCUGUCGGGGCGACACCACUGGGGGAGGCUGGCUGAAGGGUGCACGGGGUCGCGCUGCAUCGUUUCUGACGGCUGCGCACGAACCUACAGCGAUCUAAAGAGAUAAACAGCAUAGGCCGGGGCCAGGCCGUCCUGGGUUCGAAUCCAGCCCUGCCUGUGGGCAGCUCUGUGAAUUAGGGCAAGGGGCGUAGCCCCUCCAGGCCUCAGUUUCCUCGUAGCGUUUGGUGCUUCGGAGGGCUUGAGUGACGGUGAGGUGAGGUGAUGCGCGCCGGGUGCCUAGAAAGGUGCCAGCAGCACGUGCUGUCGCGAUGUGAUCAUCCCUGACGGGUUCACCCCGCGCUGGCUCGUUCCGUGCCCGGAUCAGCCGUGGGAUGGGAGGCCGCUGUGUGAUCCCCACUUCUCAGAUGAGGAAACUGAGGCUCAGGCCAGGGGACCCACCCAAGGGCACAGAGUUUGUAAGGGCUGGAGCUGGGACUCACCCCGGCCAGAGCCCGGGUGUGGAGGUUCUUUGACUGAGUGGCCCCAGGGAUGUUCCUUGCCCUCUCUGAGCCCUGAUCCCCUCCUCCUUCUCUCCUCACCUGCAGGCUGGGCUUAGGAGGUUGGGAUAGGGGAUGGUGGCUGGGCUCAUGAACUGUGGAAGCCAGAGAGCCCUGACCUCUGGGUCCUUCUCUCACUUCCUGGGCCCUCCCGGAGCCUGCCCCCUGUCAGCCACCUCUGAGGCCUGUGGGUCACUCCUGUGACAGCCAAACUCACUUCCUCUCUGAGUAACUCUCUCCUCCUUGCUCUGUCCUCCGGCAGCAUGGUUUCCUUUCUUGCUGUUCCCUGCGGUAGGUGCUGGUUUCUCUCGGACCCCUUCCCACCUCCCGCAGUGGUGAGAGGGCCUUCGGGGUGUAGCCCGCCCACCCUAGAGGGAUGGGGUUAUCCCCAGCUGGUGCUUAAGCAUGAGAAAUGCGUUGCUGUUCAGCCAAAGCUAAUCCAAGGCUAGACGGGUCUCCAGAGGUGCCUGAGGGGGGGCUUGGAGGUUUUUUGUCUCCCUCACAGCUGACUGGUGACUUGGGCCUUCGGGCGUCCCGGGAGUGCCAGGGACGGCUUGCUCUUCUGCCUAAGGAUUGGGAGGGGUCCCGACCAUCCCGGGCUGGGGACCAGGGGGCACCGGCAGGGCCUGAACCGAGAGGGGCAUCCACGGUCAUGUCAAGCGGUGGAGGCGGUGUCUGGGGCUCGGGGGCACCAGUCAUGGCUUCUUAGGGUCUCAGCUUCUGGGCUUUGUUGGGCAGAGCCUGGAGGCCAGGGAGGGGGGCUGAGUAGGGGGCCUUACGGUCUCAUGAGCCUCUUGGCUGUUUCUUGGAAGCUCCAAUCAUGCUCCUGCCCCUGGACCUUUGUAUUUCCUGUACCCUCACCCUUCAGAGUGGGGCCCCGACCUCCCCAAAGUCACUGCCAUUGCUAUGUGCCAUCAUCACUUGGGAUUUGUUGUAUAUUCAUCGCCGUGUCCCCCCCCCCGCCCCCCACCGACCCCUUCACCCAGGAUCUGUUCAUCUUGGUCACUACUGUGUCCCCAGCACUGGGCACAUCUUAGGUGCUCAGCAGACACUCAUGCCUGACUCAGUGUCCCCCACAGGCUGUGGAUGUGGGCCCGUCCCCUGGCGGUGAAUGAGGCCUUUCUGGGGAUGGAUAUGCUUCAACUGUGUCUCCGGGUACGUCACCCCCCCCCACCCCCACCCCCAGGAAUCUGGCUAGGGAGACUCAGGCCCAGGGGCUGGAAUUCACUUGAGUUCACCUCCCUUCGCCCCUGGAGUUCUGUAUCUCUGUAUCUGGGGGGUUGAGAAUGCCUUUUGGGGAUUCGUGGAAAACUAGGGGCCUUUGAAAAGCAGUUCUGGUGUUUGUGUUCAAGAGGGCUCCGCAGUAACACAUCGGGCACCUCCAGAAGGUCUGGACCUCCUAGGUCAGAGAGGUGGAGGUCGUGAGCCAGGAAAGUGGGGGGCCUGACGGCAUUGGGGUGCAGGGGAGGGGUGUUGACGGCAUCAGUUUCAAGUCCUGACGGCUGACGGGGCAGGGCGACCAUUGAGCACACUUUGUGGAAUUCUUCUAACGAUCCUCUGAGGCACAGAGAGGGUAAGCACCUUGCCCAAAGACACACAGCUGCAGACACACAGUAUUAACUGGUAAAUGGCAUUUUGUAUGCAGCCGUGGGAAGGGGCCCCCUCCCUCCUCUUCGAGAUGUGAGGCCCGGAGAUGCCCAAAGUCUUCUGGAAGGCCUGGCGUUGGUUUCUCAGUGUGGCUCACAAGCUAGAAGACUAGAGGAGCCGCCCCCCCCACCCCCCUUCCUCCUAGUUGGGUAUUUGCAUGACAAUGAGCCCUUUGUCCCUGGGUCCAGCCUCCUUCCCAGGCUAAUAACAUAAUUCUCGGCCUAUGAUGUCAUAAUGGGCCCUUUCUGCUGGGGCUGGAGGCUGGGUGGGCAGCUGUGUGGGCUGGGCCCCGCCGGUAAUAAAUAGAGUCGUGAUUAUGGGGGGGGGUGGCGGACGCGCUCUCCUUGCAGGACCUUGUGACAUCCUUCGGGAGUGGGAUUUGUUUCCAUUUGACACAGAAGCAAACAGAUUGCGUUUGUUCAGCUCCCCGGCUGAACCACUGUGCGCCUCGUCUUGGCCUGUGAAAUGGGGGUGAGUCAUCCGUGGCUGGCCCUCUCUCGGAGGCGUAGGUGUGAGAGUCCCUCGCUUCCUGUAAACGUGAGGGAGGCCCUUGUGCCCAGCGGCCCCGUGGCAGGACCGCUCAGAGAAAGUGGGCCCGAACCCCGGGCCCGGGGCCCGGCAGGGAGCGAGCUCGCUAUCGGUGGGCAACGUCAGGAAAGGCCGGGGCCUGCGCAGUGGGCUGAAUGGCAGCCCCCCCUCCCAAAAAAAAAGAGAUUCGCACGCGUUCAUGCCCGUCUCCUCUAAAUGGGACCUGCUUCGGAAAAAGGGUCUUUGCAGACGUGUCUUGAGAUGAGGUCAUUUGGAUUCCCCGAGCGAGCCCUGUGUCAGUGACCAGUGUCCUUGUGAGGGACGGAAGAGAGAGCACAGAGGAUGGCUGUGUGAAGACAGGCAGAGACCGCAGUGAUGUGGCCAGAAGCUGGAGGAGGCCGGAGGGAUCCUCCCCGGACGCCUUCGGAGGGAGCAUGGCCUGCCCACACCUUGAUGUUGGACACCGGGCCUCCGGAGCUGGGAGAGAAUAAAUUUCCGUUGUUGUAAGCCACCUGGAUUGUGGUCAUUUGUUACAGCAGCCCUAGAAGCUCAUAGGGCCAGGGACCCCCCCACCCUUCCGCGUCCCAGGCCGAGGGGCCAGGACCUAGUGCGGUCUCCUCCCUGUCGGAGGAGUCCGGAACCCGCCUCCCUCGCCCAGAACCCAAAUCACAGACCCCGGAAACUGCGUGUUGCCUGCUGCCAGCCGUCCUUCCCGCUCAGGCGUCCCUGCUAAGGAGGACGUGACCCAGGAGGCCGGAGGCUCCCCGGAUUCCGUGCUGGGCCCUCCCCCCCCCCAAGCCCCGAACACUCAUUCCCCACAUGCCUGGCCACUCACCCAGCACCUGGGUCGCAGUCAUCCCCCUCCCCCGCAAGCUGCCUUAUUUGCCGGGUGCCCUUGACAGGGGGAGACCCCGAGGCCCAGACAGGGCACGCUGCGGCCCCUUGGUGGUGACGGCCUCCGGAGUCCCAGCCACGGCUGCUGGAUGGGCCGGCAUCGCGGCUUCCAGGAGGAAGGGAUCAGGGCCCCGGGCCACAGUGAGAGCGGUGGGGGAGCCGGCGGUGUAAACGUGAAUCAGUUCUUGGGGCGUGCUGGCCUGCUGUAGGCGACACCCCAGGAUCUGACUGUGAGUCGACCCCUCCUCGGCCUCAGUUUCUCCAUUUCCAAAGUGGCCUUCGAGCUUCGGCUCAGAGUCUGCAGGGAUGCUGUCAGAGGGCUCAUGGAUUCAGCAAGCACUUACGGGCCUUACCUUUGGGGUUGUGGGGAGGUGGGAAGUAAGCAGCGGGGACCCUGGGAAUGAGGAUUCCGGGUCCCGAUGAGGGACGUAGCAGAGCCAGGGGGCUGGGGUGGGGUUGAAGAUGCUGCUCCCUUUUCCUCCCGGGACCCCGGGGUGGUGCUUUGCGGCUGGCCCGGGGGGCCGGCCAGGUUCACGUGGAGAUGGCCACGGCCCAUCGGUAGCGACUUGUGGUUGCCUCCAGCUGGCAGGACUUGGCCUGGACCCGUGAGCGGUGAUGUUGGGUACAAGGCCUGUGAGGCCCCAACCGCAGCCUGAUCAGGGAGAGGCAGAGGUGUCCCCCAGCCUGAGCUGGGAGGCUGGGGACACUGGCAGUGGAUUCCCAGGACGUAAUGGGUAAGAGGUGGGUGCUGGAGAGGCCUAGCCUGGCAGGCAAGUGACUUAAGCUCUCUGUGCCUCAGUCUUGCUUCCAGGGAUAUGGCGAUGGUGAAAUAAACUGAUGAGAGUGAGCACCGUGUUAGCAGUUAGCCACGGUGAUGAGUGCACGGCGCUCACCUUGGGUCUGUUAUCAUGACUGCUCAGGACCUGGGAUCUGGAGGUGGAGUGGGCUCAUCUUUCCAUGGUCCUGUUCCUGCCUGUGGGACACCGAAGAGCCCUCUUUGCCCCCAGAGCCUCAGUCUCCCCAUCUGCGAAAUGGGAGCUGUAACCAACUUGUGGCUACAUGGAGGUCGGAGACAAAAGAGGAUGGUGGGAGAAGUCAGCGCCCGUGGGGUCAGGGCUGAGGGGUCAGGGUCUCUACCUGCUCCUGGUUUGAGCCUUGGCCGCCCUCCAGGCCGGGAAACAGGCUCCAGCAGGGAUGGGGCCCAAGGUGUGUCUGUGGGUGCAGUCUGCAAGGCCUCCUGGCUUCGGACAAUGCCCCUGUCUGAAAGAGGGGCCACGGCAGCUCUCCACCUCGGGAUAUUCCUCCAGAAGCCGAGGCCAGAAGCCAGAGGACGUUGUGGGUGGGGGCGUGCCUGCUGCUGGGGAGUGACCCAGAUCUGAGUCAGCUAGGAAGGGGCAGCCUCUGUCCGCAAAGUGGCUGCCUGCCGGCUCCCCCGUUAGGGCCACUGAUAGCUCAGGCCUGGCCAGGAGACUCUGUUUCUUCAGGGUGAGAGACCGCGUAGGCCUAUCCCAGGCUCCUGUCCGGCCCCUUCCUCCUAGGCUGAAUUUGUCCGGGGAUCCCAUCUAUUUCCUCUUGCUUCCUUCUGGCCGGCUUGGGAGAUCUCCCUACCUGUACAGGUGAGGGGACCAGAGACUGCAGAUCUGAUUCCAGGGAGAUCCGUGGCUUCGAGCUGGGGUUUUCAGGGGGUCUCUGUCUUAGGUGUGUUGGUUGCAAUUGGCAGACUCUCUGUUCCUCCUGCAUUUAGCACAAAAGGAUAUCAGGGUGAGCUUCAGGCAUGGUUGGAUCCAGGGGCUCAGGUGACAAGGGGCUCCCCGUGUCCGAUCCCUGGUAGCCUAAGAAUAACGAUCACAACUUAGCCCAGUGGAAGGUAAGCCUUGUUGUCCCCACUGUUACAACAGAAAUCGUGGGAGUGAACUUUACGGGCUCAGCUUGAGAGUUAAGCCCUUCCCCAAACCGGUGACGGCGGCUGUGGUUCUGGUGGUGGCCCUGGUGGUGCUCCUGAGACUGUGCUCAUUGGCCAGACCCGGGAGGCAGAGUCAGCCUCCCUCAGAGCCCAGAAUCGAGGGGUCGUAGCCCCAAGGACAUAAGGGUACAGUUUGCAAGCAGCGGGUGCUGGGUGGGCGAAGACAACAGCUGCUGGCCACGGCCGGCUCACUCCGUGUGUUGGACACGAGCCAGCUCGGGGUCCCUGCCCAGCCCCCCUUUCACGGCCAGUGUGUGUCCUUUGGGGAGGGGGCGUGUUAUUUAAGACUCACUGGGUAAGUGGGCCCAGCCCCUCCCACUCCCUGUUUUAAUUAGGGGCCUCUCAGGUCCCCCUCCAAGCCAUGUGGGAGGACGUUCCUGCCUGUCACCGGCCUCCCCGCUCCCCAAGCUCCCCUGGGCUUUGCUGGGCCCUCUCUUGUGGUUUCCAGCUGACCACAUGUCAGAAGCCACAGGUCACAUCCUGGCAGCCCACGGGCUGUAUUUGGAUGUCAGACUGAUUUAUUGGGUUGGGUUUAUGGUCCAUGUUUUUGAAAUAAAAACUGUAAAUUGAGGGAUGUCUCAAAGUCAGACUUUCUUUGCCCGAAAGAAUUGGACGCUGUGAUCCCCUGGGCCCCGUUCUCCAGGGGCCAGGAUGCCCGGCUGGGGUUGAGCUGCGGCCACCCCCUGACACAGGCAGCCCCCACCUGCCCCUCUCCUCCUCCGUGAGACUCCGGCCUGGCGUGGUAUCCUCAGCCCUCCUCGCUGUUUCCCCCUCCCUAUUUCCGGCCUGGGACCUCUCCCCCCACCGGAGCCUGGUUAAUCUUGCUCCCUCCGCGGACUGGUGAUCGGAUCCCAGAAGCGUGCUCCCGCUCCGGGCCCUGAGGCCUGUGUGCUCGCUCGUCUGCGGGCUCCUGGCUGCAGGGCCCGGAGGGCCUUUUGGGUUCUUGAUCCUUGACACUCACUGAUCAGCGAAAGCCCUCGGGGAAAUCGCAGGGGCUGCUGUGAUCCACAUUUGAGCCUUGGAGGGAGCUGGUCGAAAUGGGCCCUUCCCCCGCGGCCUGGCACCUGGGUGGCAUUGGUGGAAGGUGGGGAGGGGGGAUGAUGCGAGGGGGGAGCUGCUGGGGGGGGGGUGGGCUCCCAGCCCCGGGCGCCGCUGCUGGCGAACUAUUCUUAGCAGCGGGAACAUUUGUCCUCCUUCACACGUGGUGGAGGACGUCCCCCAGAGAUCUGCCCCGAAAUACUCAGGGCGACCCCAUAAAUUCCUCAGAAAGCCGUCCUGGGGGGCCCAGCGUGCGUGGAGGCGGGACGGGAGGAGGCGUUUCCGGCAGCUGCGCGGCUGCGGACACGUUUGCCAGAUGUUGCGCAGGGAAGUUUGUGGGAACCCGGAGUCUGCCGCGCGCGCCCCCUCGCCGCGGCCCCCUCCACCCUCCUCCGGGUCCUGGUGAGUGAUGGGCGGAGCCGGCAGACGGCCAGCCCCUCCCUGUGUCCCCGUGGCUUUCGGGGGGCCUUUCAACCCUCUCCUGACGCUGCCUGGGUUGGGGGCGCCGUGGGCUACAGACAACGAGGCCUUGACUGUGGUCCCCCUCAGUGCCUGGCCGCGAGGGGCUGCUGCCCUGUGCCGGGACCCCUGGCAGGGCCUUGGGCGGCACCGGCCCUUCCACGGGGCCCCCAGGGCAGCGGAAGCCACCACAGAGGAUACCAGCCCAGCUGGUUGCCUUGGCUAGCAACCAGGGAGGCCUCCCUGGAGGAGGUGUGCGCUUUGCUUCUGUUUUGUUUUUGUUAUUACUUAAUUUUUAAGUUGUGGUAAAAUACACAUCACAAAAACGUUCAGGUCUCGGGCAUUUUUAAAGGGGCCAUUACUCCGCAUACCCCUUCCUCCAGGCCCUAGCCAUCACCCCUCUACUCUCCGUCCCUAGGAGAUGACUAGGCCGGGCGCCUCCUGUAAGCGCAAUCGUACAGCGUUUUUGCCCUUUUGUGUGUCUGGCUCACUUCAUUCAGCAGAAUGUCCAGAGCGGUGAUCUGUGGUCCAUUGACUCCUUGGUUGUUGGUUCGUCGCCGUCCAGGCAGCGAUGUGGACGGAUCCGGGACCCCGAGCCCCGCAGCUUUUGAGAUCCCGGCGCCCUGGAUCCGUAUGUGGUCGCCCCGCCCCCUGUGUGGACGAGCGCUCACUGCGAGCGGGUACCACGCUGAGCCCCGACACGGCUCGCCGAGUCAGGUCCCUGCUUCCCACUCUGCAGUCCGCUCUGUUCCAAGCCCCCGGGGCAGAGGGUCGAGCGCUUUGCCCAGUCGCACAGCUGGUGCCAGCGUCCCCCCCGCCCCCCUCCCCCCACUGCCCAGACACCAGCUUCUUCUCUGGUUUCCCCCUCUUCCCCCUCUGCAGAAAAAAUUGCUGUUUGGAAGGCCAGAUGGAAAACACGUCCCUCCCGGGGCGCUCAGAACCUAAUGAGGAAGAGCCAGGAAAAAUCCAGCGUAAUGUUUGUGAAAUACCCAAGAGGGAGGGUGCGUCUCGAGGCAAGGGUUCUCGUAGGGGACCCUGUGACCUGGCGUGCGGGAGGGUUUGUCAUGACUGUGGCUUCUCUCUCUCUCUCUCUUCCUUUUAAAAUUAAGAGGGGGAGGGGGAAGGGAGUCCAGGAGGAAGCGAUUUUGAGCAGAUCUGGCUAUGGCGGGGGAGCAGGGCUGGGCGGCCGAGCUGGCCACAGCCCAGUGGACACGAAUGUACCAACUAAAUCGGAGACCGAAACGGGCCUCCUCGGUGGCCCUCUUCUGCUCACUUCGGAGGGUGUGUGGGGCUGGACCAGGGUGCCUUCUGGCUGCCUGACCUUGGGUGAGCGAGUUCACCUCUCUGAGCCUCGGUUUCCUGAUCUGUUGAGUGGGGCAGUCACGUUCGGUGAGGGAAAUCGGGGCCUUCCUCUGUGCGGGUGCCCGAAGAAUGCCACCUGUAGAACCACAGACUCUCAGGCGGGUCUGAGGACCCCGGGAGGGCACCAGGCAGCAUCUGGGGGUGGUGGAAAUUCUAGCCGAGGCUGGGGAUGCCUUUUAGGGGAGGUGCGAGCUGGCGCAGGUUGCCUGGGGCGUGUUCGGUACCAGGCUUCUGGUUUUCCCUGGAAGGUUGGCGCGGGCUGUGGCCCAGUCCCCCGUGUGGACCGGCGGCAGCUUUUGUCCCCACGACCCUCGCUGUUGUUCCCCUGAAGCGUCAGAAGUGGGCUCAGCUCAGGCCACUGCCCAUCUCACCGGAUGCCUGGACCCCAUGCUCAGCCCCCCUCGAGAAGCUCUCUGUCUGCUCUGUGUUUGGGCGCGGGUCCCCCCAGUCCUGUAUACCCUCCUAACUAGGGCCUUGCUCUGCCAUUUGGUCAGUUCACUUCACCCAGCCUCGAUUUGCUCAUCUGCAGCGUGGGGAUCGUAACAGUACCUGCCCGGUGACUAAUAUUGCCGUCGUCAUUAUGGCAAACUCGUGCCCACCCCGUGUUUCCAGUAGCCGAGAGAACUUGAGCCAUAGCCCUCAUUUUGGGGACUCUUCUGUGGGUGUUGAGCUGUUGAGAGAUCUCUUCUCGAUGAAUCUUUGCACCUGUCCCUCCCUGUUCUGAUUCUGGAGUUGGAGACUGGAGGCGGUUUUCCCCAGGGUCCUCUGUGCCCAGCAGGCUGGUACUUGGGGGGCAGUUGUGCAGGCUUGGGGAUUCUGGGGGGGUGGUGCUCGUGUGUGUCUCCCACAGUGGCUGGCGGGGAGCCUGAUGUAGGCGUAUUUGUGGAAUAAAGGCACGCUGGGCUCUGUGGACAGUGGCACAGUUAAAUUGAUGUCCAUCUGGGGCGCCUGGGUGGCCCCGUCAGUUAAGCGUCCGACUUGGGCUCAGGUCAUGAUCUCGCGGUCCGUGAGUUCGAGCCCCGCGUCGGGUUCUGUGCUGGCAGCUCGGAGGCUGGAGCCUGCUUCGGGUUCUGUGUCUCCCUUGCUCUCUGUCCCUCCCCGACUCACACUCUCUCUCUCAAAAAUAAACACUAAAGAAAAUAAAAUUGAUGUCCAUCUGUUGAUUUGUCUGUCCAUCUGUCCGUCCGUCAUUCCUCCAUCCAUGCUCCCCCCUCGCUCUCCCCUUCCUCCCUCCCUCCUUCUUCUACCACCCACCCACUCCUCCUUCCCCCUCCAUCCGUCUUCUGUUGAGUACCUGGGGUGAAGAGGUGCUUUCUGUGUUGGGACAGGACUGUCACUGGUUGGCAGGAGUUUUUGUCCAGCUGGUCCACUGCUGUGACCCCCUCCCCGCCCCCCGCCCCCAGUGCCUCAUUGGCCAGAAUGAGGCAGAGACCCCGUUUGGGAUGGGCUUGUCUUGGCUGGUCUCCAUUUAGGGGUGGGCGGGUGGCAUUUCUGAGGGCGGUGCUCUGAGCUGAGCCGUACGUGACUUUGGGCCACUCAGGGGUGCUGCUCUUUGGGCAGAGCCGUGAGCAGGCCGUGGUUGGGUCCCUGGCUCCUCCUUGGGGCGGAGAGGUCGUGUCAGGGGCAAGGAGGCCAGUUUUACUCCUGCUGGAUAGGGACCUGUGUUCUAGGGGACCCUGAAUGGUGGCUUUAAUCGCGUCAGGAUUCCGGGUGGGUUACUCCCCGACGGAGGGCACAGCUGAAGUUUCCUUUAACACAGGGGCACGAGGAGCAGGCUUGGUACAGGAGACCCCGAACGUCACCCCUGCCCAGAGGCUGGCGCCUUCCUUUCUCGUUCGGAGUGAGAAGCCUGUGUGACCUCACAGGGGCCUUGCUCACUCCACUCUUGCCAUCCCGGCCCCCUGGCCAUUCCCUCCCCACCUCAGGGCCUUUGCACUGUCUGUUCCGUCUGCCUGGAGCAGCUUCCCUACACAUCCGCAUGCUUCCUUCCUCCCCUCUCUCUGCUUCUCCAUGCCCCGCCCCGCCGCCAGCCGUCCCCUGCCUACCCUCCUCAUGCUUCUCGUUUUCCCCACACCGCAGACACCUCCCAACAUUCCUGUAAUUACUCCGGUCUGGCGUGCUAGAAUGGCAGCGCUGUGAAGGCAGGGGUCUGGGGUCUUUUACUCGCGGCCGCGUCUCAGAACCUGCCCACGAAGGUUCCUGUAAUCGUGGUUGACGGCGGGGAGCUGCCUGGGAGGGGGCAGGGACCCUGGCUUCACCCCCCUGCCCUCGUGGGCCGGGCAGGCUCCUCUGGGCUCACCGGGGCCGCCUCCCACGGGGCUCUCUGUGUCCCAGGGCUCAGCUGAGAGCCGGAUCCCCGAGCAAGGAGGCCCAGUGGAAGGUGGAGCUGGUACUUGGCCGGCUGCCCAUUUUCCCGGCACGCCAGAAACUAGAAACUCAAGGCGUAAACAGUCCGCUUCGUUCUAGCUGGUGUUUCUGCCACCUCUUAACGUCACAUCCCAGAACAGCCUCGGUGCUCACGUCCCCCGUGCUGGCUUCCGGGGCUCCGUGCUCCCGGGGCCAGGCUGUUUCUGCUCGGUACAUAUCUGUUGCAUCCUUCUGUGUGCCAGGCUCCGGAUUGUGGCAGUGGGCCGAGCAAACAUGCAUCGAGCACCUACCGUAUCGGGUUAAACGCGCGUCUCCCCCCGUAAUUCACGUCCACCUGGAAGCUGGGAACAUGAUCUUAUAUGGAAAGCGGGUCUUGGCAGAUGUGAUUAGUUAAGAUGAGGUCACAACUGGAUGAGGGUGGGCCCUGAAUCCAAUGACUGGGGUCCUUCUCGGGGGAGGACCAGCUGAGAGGUGGCCGCAAGCCAAGGGAUGCCCGGGGCUACUCGCUGCUGGACGAGUCUGGAAGGAUCCCCCCCACCCUGACCCGGAGCCUUGGGGGAGGAGCGCGGCCCUGACCCACACCUUGAUUUGGGACUUCCGGCUUCCAGAACGGUGAGAGAAUGCAUUUCUGUUGUUUUCAGCCCUUCCUUUUUUUUUUUUUUAACAUUUAAUUAUUUUUGAGAGACCGAGCGUGAGCGGGGGAGGGGCAGAGAGAGAGAGGGAGACACAGAAUCCGAAGCAGGCUCCAGGCUGUAAGCCGUCAGCACAGAGCCCGACGCGGGGCUCGAACCCACAGACCACGAGAUCAUGACCUGAGCCGAAGGCGGAUGCUCAGCCGACCGAGCCCCCCCAGGCGCCCCUCCACCAUCCUGUUUGUGGUGCAUUGUUCACCCAGGUUCCGGGAAGCUAGCGCACCUCUGUGUGCCAGGCCCUUGCAGGGGAAUCGUCAGUGGAUCCAAACAUUUGUCCAGUAGCUGCUGAGUGGUCCCACGCCCUUCUAGAGGCUGAAGAGCUGUGGCGAGGAAGGCCACGGCGUUCCCAGUGCCUCACUGUCUCUCCAGCCCGGACAGGCCGGCGGGGGCGGGGGUACGAGAGGCCAGGUCCCCUGUGUGGGGCCUGUGGCUUCUCCGAGCACCCUGGAGGGUUCUGGAGGGUUCUGGCGAGCGCGCGUGUGUGUGCACGUGCUGGGGGCUUCUCUCGGGCUGACAGCUGAGUUGUCAUUCUGAGGCUCCCCCACCUGCCACGGGUUCUGACGUCGGUGCCCACUAGUUACGGGAAAGUCUCAGGCAUUGGGUGGCGCAGACAGCUGGCCUUUCAUCUUCUCCAGAGCCUGGGCUCAUGUUGGAAGGCUCCCAGGCACCUUAACGGGCACCCUGCACGUCCGUCCCCCGCCCGCUCUUGGAGCCGUCCCGGCCCCGACCUGCUGUAAUCCGCCCUCCCCGGAGCUGAAGCGGGCCGCACGCGGCACGGAAAAUCUAUGGAAUGUGCCUCAGUGGGGCCUCAGCGUCCUGCCUGGGGCCGGAGAGGAAUGUGGGGGCAGGAGGGCUCUGGCCUCACCUGGCGUUACUGGCACCUGCCUGGACAGGUUCCCUUGUUGAGCACCUGCUGUGUGCCAGGCGCACCGGUAGGCUCGUGGGAUGCAGCGGGGGCAAGGCAGACAAAACCCACAGCGGUGAGCUUCCUCCUGCGGAUUUGGAGGCCUUACCAAAGCCACGCGGUGGACGGAACACGGGCUGUGAGGUCAGGAUUGUGGGGAGCUGCCCCGUGGGGCUCGCAGGGCUCUCUGGUGGGCCGCUGCCUCUGGGGCAGGUGCAGUAGAGGGCCACCCCGGGGCCCCUGUGCUGUUUGUGGGUGGUCCCCACCGUGGACCAUUCGUGCCGGGCCCCGUGCAGGACUGGAGUUCUUGGCCCUCCUCUGCCUGGCUCGGCGGCCCUAGUGCCCUGGUUUGUGGCUUGGACGUGCGAGGCCCGGGCUGGGGCUUUGGGGCUCGGAAGUAUCCCACGCUACCUGGCUCAGCCAUUUCUUAGCCCCGCUUGAGGGCCGUCUCGUCUCCUCGGAGCCCUGCCCUUGCUGAGUUUGCCUCAUUGAGCGCCUGCUGUUUACCAGGCGUGAUGGCAUUGCUUCCCAAGCAUGCCGUCCUGCUGGUAGGCUGGUGGAGCUGGAAUUGUGGACGUGUACCCGAGGAAACUGAGGCUCAGAGGUGUGAGGCUUCCUGCCUGACGAGGGGACAGGGGAUCCCCGUCCCCGGGAAGCCACUUGGCCUCUUCCACCCCAGGGUGGAGCUUCUUCCCGACUUCCCUGGGCUGUGCCUGCUUCUCCUUCUCUGGUGCUGCCGCUCUGAUCCGGCCAGCGUCGUCUCUUGCUUGGAUGCCCGCAGGAGCCCCGAGGUCUCCCGGCUCUCUGUGGCACCUGCUUAUAAAACACACUGACUUCGGCCCAGGUCACGAUCUCGCGGUCCGUGAGUUCGAGCCCCGCGUUGGGCUCUGUGCGGGCAGCUCGGAGCCUGGAGCCCGCUUCGGAUUCUGCGUCUCCCUCUCUCUCUGCCCCUCCCCCGCUCACGCUCUGCCUCUCUCUCUCAAAAAUAAAUAAAUGUUAAAAAAUUAAAAAAAAAAAAAAAAAUAAAACACACCGACUCUUCAUUUCCCCAACCACCGUCUGUGGCUCCUCAGAGCCCUUAGAACAGAACCCAUCCUUGCCGUGGCCCGUGGGCCUUGAGUGACGGUCCCCCCCACCUGCCUCGUGCUCACUCAAUCAGUUACUCAAGCACGGGGUGCCUGGUCUCACCUCUGGGCUCCUGUUUAGGUGGCUGCCGCCGCCUGACUCCCCCCCCCCCCCCCCCCCCCCCCCCCCCCCGCCCCGGCUGUCUUGUGCCCGCUCCGCUCCGGGAACUUCUCCCUUGUCCCCCUUCUCCCCGAGACCCCCUCGCCCUCCCCGAGGCUGGAGUACCCUGAGCGUCCAUCUCCGAGGUCACUGUUUGCUUUCUGCUCCCUGCUGCACCCCACUCCCACCCGGUCGGGGCACCGAGACGCUCGGCAGCUGGGCUCCGCCUCAUUCGCUCAUGUGGGGCUCAGCGCGCAGCGCGGACCCCGAAGUUUCUGUCCAUAAAUGGAUGCGUGCUACCCUCUCUUGACCCCGAAGCCACCAGAUCCGCGGUGGUAUUGGGGCCGCUGUGCCGAGACUGGCUGCAGCCUCGAUCGGUCUUCAGAAGGCCUUCCAGCCCAGACCUGAUCCGGGGCACCCUGCUGAGUCCCCCGGGGCAGCGGGGCGGGGGGGGUCUCCCUCACCCCUCUCCUACCCCCGUCUUUGAUGGAGGUGCGUCCUAGUUUUCCUUGUCAUUCACAUUCAAACCUUGAGGAAGACAUUUGUUUUUCCAUCGACAGUGUUAUGCAAAUACUACCUGUGUCUAAUUUGAACACAUUUCCAUCCCCGCGUGGAGAGCCCGGGUGCCCGUUAGCAGUCACUGCCCACGCCCUCGGCCCUGGCGGCCACCAGUCCGUUUCGGGUCUCUAUGGGGUUGCCUAUUCCGGAUACUUCCUGUAAGGGGACUCCCACACCAGCCGGCCUUUUGUGACCGCCUCCUUUCACGCGGCGUGAUGUUUUCACACCCGCGGUGUGACUGUGUCAGUAGUUCAUUUCUUUUUGUGACUCAGUCGCGUUCCACCGUGUGGACGGACCACAGUUUGUUUAUCCGUUCGUCUGUUGAUGGACUCUUGGGCAGUGUCCACCCCUUGGCUGUUGUGAAUAGUGCAGCUCUGAACGUUCGUAUACAUGUAUUUGUUCGAGUCCCCGUUUUCAGUUCUUUUGGGAACGUGCCCGGGACUGGAAUUGCUGGGUCAUUGGGUAAUUCUGUGUUUAACUUUUGGAGGAACCACCAAAAUGUUUUCCUAAAAAAAAAAAAAAAAAAAAUUUUUUUUUUGAGCUGGCAAGAAAUGUGACUGAGGUUGGGAGGGGUGGAAAUUGGGUUUAUUAAACAAGCUCGUGGUGAAUGGAGGGGGCACCCAGAGUCCCUUGGCUUUGGGGACAACCUAGACGUGAGGACACGGGGCCAGGGAGUGCCAGGGUGACCUGUUGAUGGCUGAGGCCCCUCGAGCUUGGCAGCCGACACACCGUGAGUCUUGAGGGAAUGGGAACCCGGCCAGACCCUGGCCUUGGUGUGAGGAGGGUGGGGUGCCGCUGAGGGUUCUCCAGGGCUGGUUUGGAAAGGUGUCACCUCCCCGGCUUCUGGAGCCCACGUGCACUGCGCGCGUGAGCAUCUGGCAGAGGCCUGCCAUCUCCAGUUGGCGUCUUGUUAGGCAAAGGAAGUUAGAAAAGCUGUGGGUAAAUCAGACUUCUUUGCCGCCUUAUGCAAUGCAAAAUCAAACAGCCAUUUGGAAGCUCCCCCACUGCGCUUGGAGGAGGGGCGACCAGUGGGAGCCUCUCCCUGCCGAGGUGCUGGCCUCAGCUCCUCGGAGAGCCCGGAGAGAAAGCAGAACGGAACUUGCGUGACCAGGAUCCACUGGGCUCCGAGAUGGAUGGGAGCAAUGGGAAUUCUGGAACGGGGUCCGGAAGUGGCCACACCUGCCCCUCUCCCCAGGCCGGUUUCUUGUCUCUGGGCUAUCGGACAGAUGUCACGUUGCCCUCGGUGGGAACUGGCAGGGCGCCCCCCCCCCCGCUCCCCCCAUCAGAGCAUCACUGUCACUAGGCUGGAGCCACUGCAGAGACAGUACUAGGGGAAGUGAUACUAACAGCGUCUGUUAGCUGAGCAGGAUUUGGUCCCGUGUUUAUAAAAAUUACAGGGCACAUCCUGUCUCGGUGGCUGGGAAAAGCCCACGUGGGCAACUUGCUGAGGUGCCCGUAGGUGCAUUGAUCUGUGACUCCUUCCUUCCCUGGCUGAGUCAGACUUCUGGUGGCAAGCGACAGAAACCCAGGUUGGGCCGGCGAAGGCCAAGCACGCGGCCGUCUCUGCUCUCUAAGCGAGCGAGCAGGCUUCGCCUUCAGGCCUGGCUGUCAUCAGGACCCCGCCGCGCUCCCUCCGCCCUUCCGCUCUGGCUUCCUGCCGGCCGGCGUCGUUGCUCGGCGGGCAUCUGCUGUGAGAUGGCCCCCAGAACCGCAGGCUUUCGAGCUCCUGGUUCCGGGCCAAGCUGGUUCCUCCAGCCAGAGUCUCAAGACUGCCUCUCAUUGGCCUAGUUUGGGCCGCGGGCGCAUCCCUCGACCAAUCCCUGGCCCGGGGGAUGCAGGACUUGGAUUGGCCAGGCCCGGGUCACGUGACUACUUCCCGAGCGCCGGUGGGAGGCCGGAGGAUGGUUCCAGAAAGGAAGGUCACAUCUACCUACAGUGGCGGGAAAGAUGGGGGUUGGGAGGGGGACGCCACCAGAGCCUCAGAUGGGGGUCUCGUUCCUCCUCUGACCACCGCGACCUCAGCCCUCCGUCCCAGUUCGAGACGGCCACGGGGCCCAUCGCCAGGGGAGGGGCCCGGCGUCUUCCCGUGGGGAAGGACAGUUGUGAACCCGGGGCAGGGCGAGGAGGGGCGUCGUGAGAUGCAGCCCCAGCCUUGCCCGGCGCACCGGGGCGUCCAGGUGCCAGGCCCCUGCGCCAUCUUGGAUUUUUCUAGCGGGGGGCGGGGCUGCACGUGCGGGGCCGGGGGAGGGGGGAGGGAGGAGGGGCCGUGGCCGUGCCCGGCUCUCACCGUGGGCGAGGGCAGGCGGCCCAGGGGUGGGGGGAUGGAGGCCCCCCCCAGAGAUUUCUGGGCAAAGGCAGCUUCUGACUAAGGGCCUCCUGGCGCCCUUGAGUCCUUUCUUCCAACCGAGACUCAGUUUCCCCAGCUCUAAAAGCAUGGGACUGCUUCUUGAGAUUUUUUUCCAGCCUGGACAUGGGUGUUUUCUGUCCCAUGGAAGGUACAGUUUAUCCAUUCCCCCUGCCGCGGCUCUUGUCUGGGUCCUUAGCUGUUUCCCCAACGCGGCCCCCGGCUGCCCAGUCCCCCCACUCCCAGCUCUGCUCCUGCACGGGGUCACGCGGAGGCCCAGGCAGGCCCGGCCUUGCCCGGGGUCACGCUGUGACCCGUGUCCUGCCCGAGCUGACCCUGCCCACCGUGGCCAGGGACGCAACCGUGCGCCUCACCCUGGCGGUGCCUCUCAGGACAGGCCCCCAGCUGCCUGCCUGAACUGGGUGCUUUCCGAGAACUUUGCCCUGGUGACUCGGAAAUCUGCAGGGGCCGUGGGGUGAGGUCGGGUGGGCCGUGGGGGCUCGGGACCCUUCGGGGAGUGGUGGGGCAGUGUUCACAGGGUUGGGGUUCCUGUGCCUGCUGAGCCAGGGCCUUGGUCGUGGGUGGGGGGCGUGUCUGGCCUGGUCUGUGGCUUGGGGGUCCCCCAGAUGCCAUGUUGCCACCUCCUGCUGUCGGUGGGCAGGAAGCGCCCAGCGGCUUGGAGGAGGAGGAGGGUCAGGAGGACCUGUGUGCUUGCUUUUCCUCAGGGACCAAAGGAACUAUUAGGGGGCCCCACCAGGGUCCUUGGAGGGAACACUGUCGCGUGGCUGAUCUUGUUUCUUUUCUGCUUUUUUCUCAGGUUCCUGUGACAGGGCGGCCCGUGAGCAGAUGAGGAGGACUGGCUUUUAACCUUGGUGGCCAUCGAGAGGGAGAUUGUUGGGGCCCAAGAGCCCCCAGACGCUCGCCGCCAUGUCGGGGUCCACGCAGCCCGUGGCGCAGACGUGGAGGGCCACCGAGCCCCGCUACCCGCCCCAUGGCAUUUCUUACCCUGUGCAGAUCGCCCGGCCCCACA